This 450-nucleotide ribosomal RNA is filed under the name uncultured Glomeromycotina. Its description in RNAcentral is "SSU rRNA". It matches the Rfam family "Eukaryotic small subunit ribosomal RNA", at positions 569 to 1030 of the family's 1831-position model. Lineage: Eukaryota; Fungi; Glomeromycota. The record is from RNAcentral.
AGCAGCCGCGGUAAUUCCAGCUCCAAUAGCGUAUAUUAAAGUUGUUGCAGUUAAAAGCUCGUAGUUGAAUUUCGGGAUCAAUAUAUUGGUCAUGCUUAGGUAUGUACUGGUAUUAUUGAUUUCUCCCUUCUGAAGAACCAUGAUGUCAUUAAUUUGAUGUCGUGGGGAAUCAGGACUGUUUGAAAAAUUAGAGUGUUUAAAGCAGGCUUUCGCUUGAAUACAUUAGCAUGGAAUAAUGAAAUAGGACGUUUGAUUCUAUUUUGUUGGUUUCUAGGAUCGACAUAAUGAUUAAUAGGGAUAGUUGGGGGCAUUAGUAUUCAAUUGUCAGAGGUGAAAUUCUUGGAUUUAUUGAAGACUAACUACUGCGAAAGCAUUUGCCAAGGAUGUUUUCAUUAAUCAAGAACGAAAGUUAGGGGAUCGAAGACGAUCAGAUACCGUCGUAGUCUUAAC